Molecule: ribosomal RNA, 1519 nt
Filed under: metagenome
Description: bacterial SSU rRNA
Rfam family: Bacterial small subunit ribosomal RNA
Source: RNAcentral
AGAGUUUGAUUCUGGCUCAGAACGAACGCUGGCAGCGUGGAUUAGGCAUGCAAGUCGUACGUGAAGCCGUUGAACAAUCUUUCGGGAGAGUGAUUCGGUGGAAAGUGGCGGAAGGGUGAGUAACGCGUGGGUGAGCUGUCUCGAAGUUGGGGACAACCAGAUGAAAAUCUGGCUAAUACCGAAUGUGGUCUUCUGGCGCAUGUCAGGAUGACUAAAGGUGGGGAUUCUUCGGAACCUGCCGCUUUGAGAGGUGCCCGCGUGCCAUCAGCUUGUUGGUAGGGUAAUGGCCUACCAAGGCUUACGGCUAGCCGGCCUGAGAGGGUGAUCGGCCACACUGGGACUGAGACACUGCCCAGACUCCUACGGGAGGCUGCAGUCGAGGAUCAUUCGCAAUGCGCGAAAGCGUGACGAUGCGACGCUGCGUGGGGGAUGAAGGCCUUCGGGUCGUAAACUCCUGUCAUGAGGGAGCAGUAUCCCUGUAAUUAAUAGUUGCGGGGCUCGAUGGUACCUCAAGAGGAAGCCACGGCUAACUCUGUGCCAGCAGCCGCGGUAAUACAGAGGUGGCGAGCGUUGUUCGGAUUUACUGGGCGUAAAGGGUGCGUAGGUGGUUUUGUGUGUCGGAUGUGAGAUCCCAUGGCUCAACUGUGGAAUUGCAUUCGAAACUGCGGAACUAGAGUGCAGGAUGGGAGAGCGGAAUUCUUGGUGUAGCGGUGAAAUGCGUUGAUAUCAAGAAGAACACCGGUGGCGAAGGCGGCUCUCUGGAAUGCUACUGACACUGAGGCACGAAAGCUGGGGGAGCGAACAGGAUUAGAUACCCUGGUAGUCCCAGCCGUAAACGGUGCACACUUGGUGUGGGGAGAUUUAACCCUCUCCGUGCCGGAGUUAACGCGUUAAGUGUGCCGCCUGGGGAGUACGGCCGCAAGGCUAAAACUCAAAGAAAUUGACGGGGGCCCGCACAAGCGGAGCAUGUGGCUUAAUUCGAUGCAACGCGAAGAACCUUACCAGGGCUUGACAUGGGGACCCUUCGGGGGUGGUAGCGAAAGUUACCUUUACCAUCACAGGUGCUGCAUGGCUGUCGUCAGUUCGUGCCGUGAGGUGUUGGGUUAAGUCCCGUAACGAACGCAACCCUUGUGGCUAGUUGCCACCGGUGGUGAUGAGCCGCCGAGCACUCUAGCCAGACUGCCCGUACAAGCGGGAGGAAGGUGGGGAUGACGUCGAGUCAGUAUGGCCCUUACGUCCUGGGCUGCACACGUGCUACAAUGGUCGGUACAGUGGGAUGCAAUACCGCGAGGUGGAGCAAAUCCCCAAAGCCGCCCUCAGUUCGGAUUGAAGUCUGCAACUCGACUUCAUGAAGUUGGAUUCGCUAGUAACGGCGCAUCAGCUACGGCGCCGUGAAUACGUUCCCGGGCCUUGUACACACCGCCCGUCACAUCAUGAAAGCCGUCUGCACCCGAAGUCGCUGAGCCAACCAUUUAUGGAGGCAGGUGCCGAAGGUGUGGGUGGUGAUUGGGAUGAAGUC